GGAAGAAUUUUCAGGCUAUGAACUUGGUCCUGGUUUCCGGCAGUUCUUUGCCCCAAAGAUUCAUCUGGCUGCUCCUGCACCAGCUGCACACUGGUUUUAUCUGGGAGGGUGAGUCCCUUCUUUUUGCUCUUCCUUUUCAAAAUGGACUUAGGCAUCAUGAACUUUUAUUCCUUUGUAAAAGUUUAGAAUAAGAAUGUGGAAGUCCUCAGAAAAUCCUGGCCAUAAUUCUGACAUUGAAUUUAUAGGUUAAUCGUAAGGGAAACUGACAUAUUGACACAUCAAAGAUGUGGCAUAUCUUUCCAUUUAUUCUGCUCUUCUUUUAAAAUGUGUAACUGAGUUUUCAAUUUCCUCAGACAAGUCAUUUUUGGAUCAUUGCCUACAAACUUUCUAGUUAAAGAAUUGUGUUUUCUUUUUUCUUUUUCUUUUUUUGUUGUGUUUUAUUUUCUAUUAUAUUUUCUAGACGGCCUUGGUAAUGUUGAUAAAGACUAAAAUUUUUUUAAGACUGAUCAGGUAGUCACCAUCCUUGCUCAUCUUUUCUUUUUUUUUUUUUUUAAAGAUUUUAUUUAUUUAUUUGACAGAGAGAGACAGCCAGAGAGAGAGGAAACACAAGCAGGGGGAGUGGGAGAGGAAGAAGCAGACUUCCAGUGGAGGAGCCUGAUGUGGGGCUCCAUCCCAGAACGCUGGGAUCACACCCUGAGCUGAAGGCAGAUGCUUAACGACUGCGCCACCCAGGCGCCCCAUCAUCUUUUAUUUUCGUUCAUUGAUUAAAUGUGUUUGUCCAAUCUCUAGAUCUCCUUUUCCUUUUUCCUUCUCCUCCUAUUUUGGCCAGAAACUCCAAUGUGUAAAAUAAUUAACAGCUAACUGUUGUUAAACAGUAGCAGUGAAAACAGAAAAUGUCUAAAUUUUCUUUUAAAAUCACAUGUGUACUUCUUUACAGGUUUCAACAGUGUCCAUGCUUGUUACACCCCAAUGUGAUAGGAAGAACAAGUGUUGGCCCAUUUUACAGAUAAGAGUCAGUAUUUUUGGGUUUGGGGGGAUCACAUGACCAGAAAGGAACAGAAUUCAUAUUCAGGUCUCCGAAGCUUCAAGUUUUCUACUAUAGCAGAUUACCUUACAUCUAGUCAAAAUGUCUAAAACUAUAAUGAUUUAACCCAGUCAUAGACAAAGUGAAUUUUUUAA
RNAcentral lists this long non-coding RNA (1179 nucleotides) under Ursus maritimus (polar bear). RNAcentral describes it as "lncRNA (ENSUMAG00000003087.1)". The record is from RNAcentral. Lineage: Eukaryota; Metazoa; Chordata; Mammalia; Carnivora; Ursidae.